RNAcentral lists this ribosomal RNA (1441 nucleotides) under Lactiplantibacillus pentosus. RNAcentral's name for it is "bacterial SSU rRNA". It matches the Rfam family "Bacterial small subunit ribosomal RNA". Lineage: Bacteria; Bacillati; Bacillota; Bacilli; Lactobacillales; Lactobacillaceae. The record is from RNAcentral.
UGCAAGUCGAACGAACUCUGGUAUUGAUUGGUGCUUGCAUCAUGAUUUACAUUUGAGUGAGUGGCGAACUGGUGAGUAACACGUGGGAAACCUGCCCAGAAGCGGGGGAUAACACCUGGAAACAGAUGCUAAUACCGCAUAACAGCUUGGACCGCAUGGUCCGAGUUUGAAAGAUGGCUUCGGCUAUCACUUUUGGAUGGUCCCGCGGCGUAUUAGCUAGAUGGUGAGGUAACGGCUCACCAUGGCAAUGAUACGUAGCCGACCUGAGAGGGUAAUCGGCCACAUUGGGACUGAGACACGGCCCAAACUCCUACGGGAGGCAGCAGUAGGGAAUCUUCCACAAUGGACGAAAGUCUGAUGGAGCAACGCCGCGUGAGUGAAGAAGGGUUUCGGCUCGUAAAACUCUGUUGUUAAAGAAGAACAUAUCUGAGAGUAACUGUUCAGGUAUUGACGGUAUUUAACCAGAAAGCCACGGCUAACUACGUGCCAGCAGCCGCGGUAAUACGUAGGUGGCAAGCGUUGUCCGGAUUUAUUGGGCGUAAAGCGAGCGCAGGCGGUUUUUUAAGUCUGAUGUGAAAGCCUUCGGCUCAACCGAAGAAGUGCAUCGGAAACUGGGAAACUUGAGUGCAGAAGAGGACAGUGGAACUCCAUGUGUAGCGGUGAAAUGCGUAGAUAUAUGGAAGAACACCAGUGGCGAAGGCGGCUGUCUGGUCUGUAACUGACGCUGAGGCUCGAAAGUAUGGGUAGCAAACAGGAUUAGAUACCCUGGUAGUCCAUACCGUAAACGAUGAAUGCUAAGUGUUGGAGGGUUUCCGCCCUUCAGUGCUGCAGCUAACGCAUUAAGCAUUCCGCCUGGGGAGUACGGCCGCAAGGCUGAAACUCAAAGGAAUUGACGGGGGCCCGCACAAGCGGUGGAGCAUGUGGUUUAAUUCGAAGCUACGCGAAGAACCUUACCAGGUCUUGACAUACUAUGCAAAUCUAAGAGAUUAGACGUUCCCUUCGGGGACAUGGAUACAGGUGGUGCAUGGUUGUCGUCAGCUCGUGUCGUGAGAUGUUGGGUUAAGUCCCGCAACGAGCGCAACCCUUAUUAUCAGUUGCCAGCAUUAAGUUGGGCACUCUGGUGAGACUGCCGGUGACAAACCGGAGGAAGGUGGGGAUGACGUCAAAUCAUCAUGCCCCUUAUGACCUGGGCUACACACGUGCUACAAUGGAUGGUACAACGAGUUGCGAACUCGCGAGAGUAAGCUAAUCUCUUAAAGCCAUUCUCAGUUCGGAUUGUAGGCUGCAACUCGCCUACAUGAAGUCGGAAUCGCUAGUAAUCGCGGAUCAGCAUGCCGCGGUGAAUACGUUCCCGGGCCUUGUACACACCGCCCGUCACACCAUGAGAGUUUGUAACACCCAAAGUCGGUGGGGUAACCUUUUAGGAACCAGCCGCCUAAGG